CGCGGAUUAAUCAUUGGAAUAUAAUUUGUCUUAUAAAUUUGAAAGGCUGGAGUCGACAUGACUAUAGGAUAUGAUAGACGUAUCCAUGUACAUGAUAUACUAUAUAUUUCUAAUUCUGUCUACCAAUAAUAUUCCAUUAUUGUGGGUGAUAUUUUAAAUCUUGGGCACAAGUCAAUAUACAUUAUGAUGGCUUUCCAUCUUUUGCACUAGGAGUCAUAUUUUGUAAUGACAAUGAUAGUUCCACAUAUGGAGCUACAAAUAAACACCAAUAGUGAUAAUUUUUCUAAUAAUAUUAUUCUCUUUGCACAAUACAUAGCAAGUAUUUUUCUAUAAAUUUUAAUAUGUUUCAUAUAUAUGUUAUAUUCAACACGAUUCAAAAAGCAAGAAGCACGAUAAUUAUAUCUAUCUUCAUGCCCAAAAUUUUUUUAUACAUAAUUUAUCCUUAGAAUCAUGCCAUAUUAACUUAUAUAAUUCUUACCAAAUGUAUGUGUUGACUUGAUGUAUGUAUAAAGGGAAUUGAUACUUGUAUACUGUAGGGUGCAUAUAGGGGUUUACAACCCUUCACGUGAAGAAGGGCUGCAUAAUUUAUUGUACGCGGGUUACUCUUCAUGUGAGGGGGUUAAACUCUUAUCUACACCAUUAUCUAUGUAUAUCAUCACUUAUGUAUAGAACUAUUUGGUGACUUUUAGGUCUCUAAUAUAUAAUUUGACCAAAACGGUAGUUACAUAAAACUUCAAAAGAUUUUACUGAUCCCGGUCCCAUUUAAUGAUUUUCUAACCAUGAACCAAAACUUUUUGCAUAAGAUUAUUGGAGAAAGGAAUCAACUGGUGCACCUAAAUGUCCCGACUAGUUCAACACUUCUUUAGCACCUUAAGAGUCUACCCCAAUCCAAAAAGAUUGACGAGUAGAGAUAUCGAUCAACAUAACCUAUCAGAAAAAAAAAAAAAAAAAAAAACCCGCGUUCGAUUAACAUCUCUGGUUACAUCUACUGAAAGAUCUAACCGUACAGAGUCAUAAACAUGGCAUUUAUUCAAUGAAACGGUACCUGCAGAUUAUUGUUGGAAAGGUCAAAUUUGCAGAUGGUCCCUAGAUUGAGAAGAGGGUUAGGCAGAGCCUCCAAAGACAUCCCACUAAGAUCAACAAUUUCAAGCUUUUGUUCUUCAUUUGAUGAUUUUCUUCUCCUAUCUUGGGACCUCUUCUUCAUGUCCAUCCUCUGGUGUCGCUGCUCGUACAUCAUCUUUACAUACAAACGGAGCCUGUAUGUAUAUUUAUAUAUGAAUAUAGAUUAUAGAUACAGAAGGGGCUGGAGUGGGCGGAG
RNAcentral lists this long non-coding RNA (1318 nucleotides) under Olea europaea subsp. europaea. Lineage: Eukaryota; Viridiplantae; Streptophyta; Magnoliopsida; Lamiales; Oleaceae. The record is from RNAcentral.